Molecule: long non-coding RNA, 368 nt
Organism: Arabidopsis thaliana (thale cress)
Lineage: Eukaryota; Viridiplantae; Streptophyta; Magnoliopsida; Brassicales; Brassicaceae
Product: other RNA
Exons: 1
Source: RefSeq
UCAACUCGUGUUUUUUCUCUUCUCCCAUCGUUAUAACGUCUUUUUGACAAAUGACAAAUUGCGCCUAACUUCUACGAUAGACACGUGGACACGUGUCGUCAUGAUGUAGUUUUGUCCGUAUGGAAAACGCUUUCCAUGUUGUAACCUAAGAUACAUUGAACAGUUCCUUUGUCCUUUCAACUUCGCUUUUUUCGAAGCUCUUUCCCUUACCCUACCACAACAUUACGCGUGUCCUUCUUAUUACAACAUUUGGCACAUAUACAUUUCAGAAAACCCGUCAACAAAAAACACGUGAAAUAAAAUAUCUCUUCCUUUACCAGUUCACAUAUUUCAUGGUUACUGUUCAAUCAUUUCGCCAAAAAAUCUUU